GCAACUCUGGGCGGUGGAUCACUCGGCUCGUGUGU
Molecule: ribosomal RNA, 35 nt
Filed under: Laternula boschasina
Lineage: Eukaryota; Metazoa; Mollusca; Bivalvia; Laternulidae
Description: partial 5.8S rRNA
Source: RNAcentral